AGAGUUUGAUCAUGGCUCAGAUUGAACGCUGGCGGCAGGCCUAACACAUGCAAGUCGAACGGUAACAGGAAACAGCUUGCUGUUUCGCUGACGAGUGGCGGACGGGUGAGUAAUGUCUGGGAAACUGCCUGAUGGAGGGGGAUAACUACUGGAAACGGUAGCUAAUACCGCAUAACGUCGCAAGACCAAAGAGGGGGACCUUCGGGCCUCUUGCCAUCAGAUGUGCCCAGAUGGGAUUAGCUAGUAGGUGGGGUAACGGCUCACCUAGGCGACGAUCCCUAGCUGGUCUGCGAGGAUGACCAGCCACACUGGAACUGAGACACGGUCCAGACUCCUACGGGAGGCAGCAGUGGGGAAUAUUGCACAAUGGGCGCAAGCCUGAUGCAGCCAUGCCGCGUGUAUGAAGAAGGCCUUCGGGUUGUAAAGUACUUUCAGCGGGGAGGAAGGGAGUAAAGUUAAUACCUCUGCUCAUUGACGUUACCCGCAGAAGAAGCACCGGCUAACUCCGUGCCAGCAGACGCGGUAAUACGGAGGGUGCAAGCGUUAAUCGGAAUUACUGGGCGUAAAGCGCACGCAGGCGGUUUGUUAAGUCAGAUGUGAAAUCCCCGGGCUCAACCUGGGAACUGCAUCUGAUACUGGCAAGCUUGAGUCUCGUAGAGGGGGGUAGAAUUCCAGGUGUAGCGGUGAAAUGCGUAGAGAUCUGGAGGAAUACCGGUGGCGAAGGCGGCCCCCUGGACGAAGACUGACGCUCAGGUGCGAAAGCGUGGGGAGCAAACAGGAUUAGAUACCCUGGUAGUCCACGCCGUAAACGAUGUCGACUUGGAGGUUGUGCCCUUGAGGCGUGGCUUCCGGAGCUAACGCGUUAAGUCGACCGCCUGGGGAGUACGGCCGCAAGGUUAAAACUCAAAUGAAUUGACGGGGGCCCGCACAAGCGGUGGAGCAUGUGGUUUAAUUCGAUGCAACGCGAAGAACCUUACCUGGUCUUGACAUCCACGGAAGUUUUCAGAGAUGAGAAUGUGCCUUCGGGAACCGUGAGACAGGUGCUGCAUGGCUGUCGUCAGCUCGUGUUGUGAAAUGUUGGGUUAAGUCCCGCAACGAGCGCAACCCUUAUCCUUUGUUGCCAGCGGUCCGGCCGGGAACUCAAAGGAGACUGCCAGUGAUAAACUGGAGGAAGGUGGGGAUGACGUCAAGUCAUCAUGGCCCUUACGACCAGGGCUACACACGUGCUACAAUGGCGCAUACAAAGAGAAGCGACCUCGCGAGAGCAAGCGGACCUCAUAAAGUGCGUCGUAGUCCGGAUUGGAGUCUGCAACUCGACUCCAUGAAGUCGGAAUCGCUAGUAAUCGUGGAUCAGAAUGCCACGGUGAAUACGUUCCCGGGCCUUGUACACACCGCCCGUCACACCAUGGGAGAGGGUUGCAAAAGAAGUAGGUAGCUUAACCUUCGGGAGGGCGCUUACCACUUUGUGAUUCAUGACUGGGGUGAAGUCGAAACAAGGUAACCGUAGGGGAACCUGCGGUUG
Molecule: ribosomal RNA, 1522 nt
Filed under: metagenome
Description: bacterial SSU rRNA
Rfam family: Bacterial small subunit ribosomal RNA
Source: RNAcentral